This 72-nucleotide transfer RNA is filed under the name Capra hircus (goat). It matches the Rfam family "tRNA". From Rfam's summary of the family: Transfer RNA (tRNA) molecules are approximately 80 nucleotides in length. Their secondary structure includes four short double-helical elements and three loops (D, anti-codon, and T loops). The record is from Rfam by way of RNAcentral. RNAcentral also lists the same sequence under 1 other name. Lineage: Eukaryota; Metazoa; Chordata; Mammalia; Artiodactyla; Bovidae.
UCCCUGGUAGCUCAGACGGUAAAGCGUCUGCCUACAAUGCUGGAGACCCAGGUUCGAUCCCUGGGUCGGGAA